Homalodisca vitripennis (glassy-winged sharpshooter) is the source of this 5011-nucleotide RNA transcript. RefSeq lists it as uncharacterized. The record is from RefSeq and is a predicted model, not a curated record. The transcript is spliced from 2 exons. Lineage: Eukaryota; Metazoa; Arthropoda; Insecta; Hemiptera; Cicadellidae.
AUAAUUAAAAAAAAUAUAUAAAACAGAAUAAGAAGGAUAAUCAGUCCAGCCUAAAUGGAGAGUUUUGUAAAAAAAAAGGAUUCGAGUGAUUAAUUUAGACCAACAUUAUCUUGUUCUUGCAGGAUUUAGGUUCUGAUAUCUUUAGUGUCAUAGUUGCUUCUUCUUCCCCAUACAUGUUAUAUUGUUGUGCUUUAUUCCUACUUUACUAGACUUGAUCAUCCUUCCCUUAUUAAAUUGUUCAAACUUAAAAAUAUAUGUCUAUAUAUUUUAAAACAUCUGAGCAAUAAAACAAUAUUAACUUAUUAAAUUUCAAAAUAACUACUCUAACUCAUAUAAUCUUAAUAGGGAUUAUGGAACUAAAUCAGAUGCUUCAGUUAUCAGUCCAUUAAUAUUAUUUACACCAUGAAACCCCUCAUCGCUAUAAGUCUUCUUCUUCUUACAAUAUGUAUUCUUGCGGAAUUGGAGCCUCGGAAGCUACUGAAACUCGGCAAAGAGCUAGAAGAGAUGCUGCUCUACCAGAAGAGGCAUGAUGGUAACAAGUUCAUGAAGAUGUUACUGACCUACAAUGACUACUUGGAGGAAGUUUUUAAGAAUGUAGAAGAUGAAACACCUUCAGGGAACAAAUUGUACAAAACGUUAGAGAGAGAACUAGGUCCUCCUCAUCUUAGAUCCAAAGUAUACAAUGUCCUGAUGACACGUAUGUUCAACCUUACGUUUGAACAAGUAGAGGAGGUGGAAGCUAUUAUAGAAAAAACUAGAGAAAUGUGGAAUCAGAUUCAAUAUGUUGUCAACAACCGCACACUGGAGGGCCGAGCAGACAUGGUACAUUUUGUCUGAAUUAUGUAACAAUGCAGUACAAUUAUGUAAGUUUUAUAUAAAUGUGUCGUAAUUUUGAUUUAUUAAACAUUACCAAGAUCAAGCUUAUAUCAAAGAUUCAUAUAUACUGUAUAUGAUGAAAGAAAAUACAAAUUAGUGCUUGAAUAUGUAGUUUACAUGUGCUCAUAUUUGACCUACAAUAUCCAUACUGUAAGAUUAGAAUGCUGUUUUAUUGAUAUAAUUUUAAAAUAGCUCCUUUAACAUAAAAAAGCCGAUGAGACAUACAGUCUAUUGUAUCAUAUUAAAUUAUAAAAUGAAAAAUAUUCAAACUUUUCCAAUUCCAUAGAGUAAAGUGGCACUAUUAAUUAAUGUUAAAGUAAAGCAAAAACCAAGAAAAAUUAUAUUUUAUUCCAAUAUUAAAUUUUUACAGUAGCAUUGCUACUGGAAUUGGUAAGAUUUGGCUAUUUUAUCUUAGGUGUUUCUUUUAUUAAUAACAAAUAGUAAGUCUACUUUCAUGCCCACAGCCUAACAGAACACAUUAUACUACAAUAUUUAAUUGUUUUUAAAUUUAAAUAUUUUUGACAAAAGUAUUUCAAAUCCAGAAAAUGCAAAAGUCCAUCAAGGAUAUUAAACAGUCUCAGCCCUAUGUUAAGUUUCAUGAUGAUGUUUACACUUCUGUAGAGUAGCAUGGAUGUCUGGGGCUAACAUUUUUAUUGAAUUCAAUAGUGAUUGGAAAGUAAUAAGUGUUUUUGUCCUCCUGCAAUUAGAUCUUCAUGUUACUUAUCAGUAUUACCAAUCAUGUUAGUAUUGAUUAAUGGUAAGCGAUUUUUGUGUGUGAAAUUUUGUGAAAAUGCAACAAUGAUGUUUAAAAUGUUUUAAUAGACUAGGAACCGUGCAUGUUAUGUACAAAAGGACUUCAGUCACACAUAAAGCUUCAAAACAAAAGUUCACGGUUAUGAGCUUUUCAGAUUCAAGUGGUAUUGUGCACAGGGAUUUGACACUUCCAUUAAAAACAAUAAAUCAACAUUAUUAAUCAGAAAUAUUAGGAAAACUGUGUAAAAGAGUUAAGCGUGUUCAACAGAACAUCCACCAUUAGAUUGUGGAUUAUGAUAAAGUGCCAUAUUGUAUUAUGAUUUUUAUGCUCAAGCUUAUAAAAAAAAUCUUCUCAGUUAUGCUGUGGCCCACUUGCCAUAAUUUAACUGUUUCAUUUUCAAAACUAAAAUAAGUUUUCCAAAGACAUCAUUAUAGAAACAACCAACAAUGGUCAAGCCACUUUGACAUAGACCUUAAAUGCCAUAAAAAAUGAAGAGUUUCUGUAUUAACACUUUAACUGCCACAUUAACACAAUUGGUUCAACACAGUUUUUAUAGUUAGAGCAAGUAUGUGCAAUAACCAUAUGACAUUGACACGUUUUUUCCUUAUAGCAUCAUCAAAGCGCAUUCUAACGGUGUUCUGCAGCCAUAUUUCGACAUUAGACAUUUUAAGAUUUUACACAGACCAAUAUUAGUACUGUUUACGGUUAUGUUUAGGCUUACAUGUUGUCAUUGAAAAGUGUCAAUUUUGGGUGGGCACUUUUCUGAGUAGAUUCUAUUUUGAGCAAUACAAAAACUUGUUUUAAAUUAUUAAUGUAACAAUGUCUAAUAUAGCUUUAUUAUACUUAAUUGUUUAUAGGUAUGUUAGCACAUUCUGGCAUAUUUCAUGUUAAUAAAACAAAAUAAAGGAUGAAAACUAAACUGAAAAAGAAAAAUCAGUGUUUUACAAUGCAGUAACACUGUAUUAAAAUACUCUUUACUGAAUACAUGAGUAAAAUUAAGAUAAAUUUAAGAUAAAAUUACGUUACAAAUUUAAGUAAAGUAACACUACUCAAAUAUGGCGUUCCAGAGAAAUUAUCAUAAAAAAUUAGCACUUUCUUGAGGUUUUUGGUUUUUUGACAACCAUUAUUGGCUACUAAUUGUUUUUAGCAUAAUUUACAGUUCUCUUACCCUACGUCUGUUUUCCCUUCACCUAUGUAACCCUCUGAUUCAGCUAGCUAGUGUGGCGUAACACUUUUGCAGGCUCUAGGUUGUUUGCCUCAGAUGUUCAAAAAAGCUCAAUAAAGUUUUUUGGAAUGAUAUGAUGGAGUAAAGUUUCCUUGUGGUUCUUCCUGUGCUAUCAUCGUUUACUACUCACGUACCCAGAAGUAUUUCCUCUGCUGCUUUGUGGAACCAUUGAUACAGAGUUUGGCCCAAUUAUAAUCGUGUCCCACUGGAGGAUUGAGAAUGGGUCACAUUUUUUUGUAGAUAUCUGCAAAUCCUACAGGGUGUUUAGUUGACAUCUUUUUAACUAUCCUCUUGUUCAUCUAAUUACUGUACAUGUUACCAUUUUCAUACUCUAAGCAGAUAAUUUCAUCUCUUUUCAGCUUCCCUUUUUAAAUUUAGCAUUUUUGAUGAGGAAACCAGGCACUAAUGGUUGUAACUGUCCGAGCAAGAUGGGUUUCUCUUUCUAAGAAAACAACGUUGGCAAGAUCUACGAAGGUGUAAAACUUUUCUGUAAACAGAGUGUACCAAGAGAGGAUGCAAAGAUUCCCUGUAUGAUUGCCAACCUUGGUAGCAGUAAAGAGCAUGUAAAAUGGAAUACAAUACACCAUGGUUCGAUCAGGUCGUCUCCUUUAUUUUCUAGAAGAAGAAUAAGGAAGGAAAAAGUGCUGAUCCGAUCGGCCCAAAAUUACCCCAAUCUUGCUUCCAAUUACCAAUUUGAAAAAAUAUUGUAAACUACCCAAAAUAUCAAUAUAAAAUCAAUAUCAGCAAUGAAAAAUUUAGUUCAGCAAUACAGAAUAUCUUGGGAACGUAUAUGGUGGCAGUUAGUAUCUUAAUACAACAAAUAGAAAAAGUAUGAGAAAUGGUGUUUUAGAUCUAAGAGUGCUAAUCUUAGUGAAAUAGAUCACUUCAAUAUUCCAUAAAAUGGUAAAUAAAAAGUUGUCUUUAGCUAGUUACUGUACAGUAUAGUCAGGACUUACAUGUAUUGAACUUCCUAGCUUAUUUUAUUAAGAACAAAAUAAUGUAAUUAAUCUCUACAGCACUUUGAGUUGUGUUCAUUCAAAAAGAAGAUAAAAAAAAAUUGAUCACAAACUGUGUAUCUUAGACAGUCAGGUACCAUACUACAUUUUCUUUAACUCUGCAUUCUAAAAUAAUAAUAUCAUAAUUUAUCUCAAUUUGUAGAUAAAAUAUUACUCUCUGCACCAGUGUUGUAUCCAUAACAAUAUCAUUUAUUAUCUAAUUUCUUUAUGUACUAUCUAUUAUUGAAUCAGAGGAAUUUCAAAGUAAAUUUCGUAACGCUGUGAGGAAAGUAAAGCAAGACAGAAAUUAAUGUAUAUUACAAUAAAUUAAUCAGAUUUUUUAAUGCCUUUUAAGGCUUUUGCUAUAUAGCUGUGGCAUAUUAAAACAACACUUAAUCUUUACUUGCCUGAAUGAAACUAAUGAUAGUGUAAUAAAAGUUUCCAGCCUGCUGACCCUUGAUUUAUGUGUUAAAAUAUUUUCUUCAUCAAAACAGCCUUGCUGUUCUAUGCCAGUAAUGUUCAUGAUGUAAACAUAGUUUUGAAAAUAUUAUGCAUUUGAUCGUUGUGUCUUGGAUAACAUAAAAAUACUCAAAAUCGUUUUCAGGAUGUUUCAGCAUUAAUACUCUGCAAGUGAUGACGUAAUAAAUUUGAUGGAUCUUUCCAUGAAACUGAAGAAACUAAUAAAGAAACCGGAAGGCACAACUCCUUACAUUCUUGAAAAUCUCGAGUGUUUCCUUGACGGGUUCAGGUCGUACAGUGACAAAGUAUUUGCAAACGACUCGGAGGCGAUAUCAGACUACGAUCUGAUGGAGCAAGAGGAGGGGCCACACCAUUUGAAGCUGUUCCCUAUAGAAAUGAUGCCAUUAUUGAACUAUUACGACUGGGAUAGCUAUGACUGUUGGCUGUUCGGCGGCUACCUGGAAAAAACCAAACAGAUUUGGUAUAGGCUCUCAGAAUACAUGGAGGCGAGGAAACGGACACUGAUGAUUCAGAAAAGAAGGGAAAGAAAAAUGCAUUUGGACCAAGAAAAUACCAAAUAGAGCUUAAUUAAUAAAAGGUUUGGAUGUUGACUGAUUUGUAUGGUGUGUAAAUAGUCUUUUCACAAUGUAAUUUAGAAAAUUAGAAACAUACUAUAUACCUAAUAAAUUAUUGAAUGUUUCA